UUACAGCCAUAUCAUGUUGAAACACUGAUUCCCAUAUGAUCACUGAAGUUAAGCAACAUUGAGCCUGGCCAGUACCUAGAGGGGUGACCACUUGGAAAUACCAAGUGCU
Molecule: ribosomal RNA, 109 nt
Filed under: Acanthosepion pharaonis
Lineage: Eukaryota; Metazoa; Mollusca; Cephalopoda; Sepiida; Sepiidae
Source: RNAcentral